This is a long non-coding RNA of Pan troglodytes (chimpanzee), 4304 nucleotides long. RefSeq lists it as uncharacterized. The transcript is spliced from 5 exons. Lineage: Eukaryota; Metazoa; Chordata; Mammalia; Primates; Hominidae. The record is from RefSeq and is a predicted model, not a curated record.
UGACAAAUGUGCUUUGGGAAUGUGAAAGGAAACUAAAUCUUGGGACCUCAAAGUCACUAAGCUAAAGGGACAAGUCAAGCUUGGAACUGCUUAGGGCAAACCUACUUCCCAUUCUGUUCAAAGUCAUCUCUCUGAGGCUCACCUGAGACAAAUGCAUAUCUAAUUGCUUCCUCUGCCCUAUUGUUGAUGUAAAAAUGCAGAUUCACUGAGCCAGACUAAAUUGGGUAUUCAGUGGAAGGUUGAUCGAGUGCGCAAAAUAAUGAAACCUUUUGUCUCUUAUCUACUUCUGACCUGGAAGCCCCAACUUUGAGUUGUCCCACCCUACCAGACCAAACCAGUGUACAUGUGACACAUAUUGAUUGAUGGCUCGUGUCUCCCUAAAAUGUGUAGAAGCAAGCUGUACCCUGACCACCUUGGGUGCAUGUCGUCAGGACCUCCUGAGGCUGUGUCACAGGAGCAUCCUUAACUUUGGCAAAGUAAACUUCCUAAACUGACUGAGCCCUGUCUCAGGUAUUUAGAGUUCACAGGAAUGAUUUCAGACACCCCAGGGAGAGGUGCCUCUACUGCGCGGCUCCUGGCCUGGUCUCAGACUAAACCGUAAGCUCCCUCAUUUUUGUAUCCCCAGUGCCCGAAACUGUGCGUGGCACUUGAGAGUCCAUGAUAUGUAUUUUUGGCUUUGUUGAAUAGUUUAAUUAACUCAUUAGUGAUGCAAAGUUCUAACUGCAUAUUUACAGAUAUUUAUGUGUGCACCACAUUAUGGGUGGUGAGAAGUAGGAAUUCAAAGAGACAAAAUCAUACUUUCUCUCCUCGAAAUUCUUAUAAAGCUACCAAGAAGACAAGACAUAGACACAUUAAAUAUAAAUAAAAUACAAAAGGAUGUACCCUGACAUGCAAAUAUGUGUUCACAGAAACAAAGUUCUUCUUACCAAAUUCCUGUUGUCUAAAGCAGUUUUUCCUAAAACACGUUCUUCAGAAUACCAGUUUCUCAGGGUGCCAAUGUGAGGAAAAGCUUUGGUGGUCAGAUGAGUUCAGGGCUGGGUUAGGCUGAUUUCUUUACCAGAAGGCUUCUUGAAGACUUAAAGAAAUCUGUAUUGAGAUAUAAUUUGUAUGGCAUAAAGUUCACCCACUUUAAGUAAACAACUCGUUGGCUUUUAGUAUAGAGUUGUGUAGCCAUCACCACAAUGUCACUGCAGAAUGUUUCCAUCACCACCCAAAACACCUCAUGCUGUUUGCAGCCAUUUCCCAUCCCCUUCCUUCCUAGCCCCUGAAAACCACUAAUUUACCUUCUGCCUCUAUAGAUUUGCCUAUUCUGGGCAUUUCACAGAGAUGGAAUAAUUUACUGUGGGACCUUUUGUGACUGGCGUCUUUCAUUUAACUUAAUGUUUUCAAGGUUCAUCCACAUUGUUGCAUGUAUGAACUGAUGGACAUUUGGGUUGUUUCCACUUUUUGGCUAUCAUAAAUUACAUUGUUAUAAGAAUUCACGUGCAAGUUUUAUUUGACUAUAUGUUUUCAGUUCUCUUGGGUCUAUAGAGAAGAGUGGAAUUCCUGGGUCAUACUGUGAAUCUAUUCAAACUCUUUUCUUUAUAAAUUACUCUGUGUCAGGUAUUUCUUCAUAGCAGCGUGGAAAUGAACUAAUACAGUAAAUUGGUAUCAAGGUAGUGGGGGAUUGCUAUAAGAUACCUGAGAAUGUGGAAGCGACUUUUGAACUGGGUAAUGGGCAGAGGUUGGAACAGUUUGGAGGACUCAGAAGACAGAAAGAUGUGGCAAAGUUCCGAACUUCCCAGAGACUUGUUGAGGGGCUCUGAUCAAAAUGCUGAUAGUGAUAUGGACCAUGAAGUCCGGGAUGAGGUGGUCUUAGAUGGAGAUGAGAAACUUAUUGGGAACUUGAAUAAACAUGAUUCUUGCUAUGCUUUAGCAAAGAGACUGGCAGCAUUUUGUCCCUGCUCUAAAUAUCUGUGGAACUUUGAACUUGAGAGACCUAAUUUAAGGUAUCUGGCCAAAGAAAUUUCAAAGCAGCAAAAUCUUCAAGUGAUGACUUGGGUUCCCUUUAAAGCCUUCAGUUUUAUGCACUUACAAAGUUAUGGUUUGGAAUUGGAACUUACGUUUGAAAGGGAAGCAGAGCGUAAAAGUUCAGAAAAAUUACCCGGAAGGAGUUAAACCCCAUGGCUGCUUCAUGAAGCAGGAAAGGUGGAUAAAAAAGACAGAGAAAAGAUGCAAAAUACACAAUCUAUAAUUUAAAAAGGGAAAAUUAUUACAGAGCCCAGGAUAGCAAACACAUAAAAGUAGAAUACAAUGAAAUAAAUUAUGGCAACUAUUUUGACUAAACUAAAAGGAACUCUAUAAUGAAAACUUUUCUAUAAGGAAAAUUUCAAUCUUAUAUUUUGAUUACUGGAACCAACCUUGUGAAAAUUACACAAACUUCAAGAGAAUUAAAAAGAAGGAAAUGCUUCCAGAAUUAUUAUAUGUGGUCACAAUAAACUUCAUUUCCAAAACGAAUAAAAGCAUUAGAAACAAAAAUUAAUUCCUGCAUCUGACAUGAACACAGAUAUAAAAAGCAUAAAAAGCACAUAUAUGUGUAAUGUGUAGUUCAUAUAUAUAUAUACGUAUUUGAAAUAUCUAUCUAUCUACAUAGGUAUUUAUAGAUAUCUAAAUAUAUCUAUAUCUGUAUAUAUGUAAAUGUACAUAUAUGUGUGUUAAUGCACAUAUAUGUAUAUAUGAAUGCAUAUCUGUAUAUAGCUACAUAUGUAUGUAGCCCUAUAUUGAAUUAUGUAUGCCUAUAAAAUUGAAUGUCAGUAUAUUUCUAUCUAUUUAAUAAACAGGUGUAGCAAGCCACAUUACAGCUCUUAUGCUUAAAACUCAGGUAAAUUUUAAUAAUAGCAAUUUCUGAGUGAUGGUCAUAAAACGAAAGGUAUGACAGGCUUAGUUAACUAAUUUUAGAAAAAAAUUUAUAUUGUUUUAUUUAAAUGUUUUAUUUUCCUUUUUUCUUUUAAUCUGGAGACAAGGAUUUGCUGUGUUUCCCAAGCUGAAGAGCAGUGGCAAUUCACAGGCCAUCCUUGACUGUGAGAAUGAUGUGACAUCAGUCCAGCAUCCAUGGAUAGAACUCUGUCCAGAAUAGCAUCAUUGUAGACAUACAAAGAAUGAGGACUUACCUAGGAGACAAGGAUGUAAUUUUUAACAUUAGGGAAAAUCAUCUCCAUUCAUACUCUUUGGCACCUCAAAUUUGGAAUCAUUUACUUUUCACCAUUUUGACUUGAGAAUAUAGACCUUUGGGAUAUCAGCAUCAGGGACCCAGAGCAUCAGCCGCCCCAGGAGCUGAGCAGGGAGCCUCAUUGUGAGAUGAACUGAGGAGUCCUGAUCUGUCGAGGCAAGGCAUGCAACUGUGUAGAAGCAAUGUUGUUUGUCUUCUGAGGCUAUAAGAGGUCAUCGAGGCUGCAUAACUUCUGCCUGCUCCUCCUCUGGAAGUUUCAAGUAAACCAAGCAGCCACAUGAAUUGGCAAACAACUCCAGCUGAGAACCUUACGUCUAAUGUUAUCCACCUUUGAGAUGACGCCUACCCUAGCCACUCACUGACUGCAUCCUUAGGAAAGCCUGGCAGGAACCUUGUGGAGCCCAGGCAACAUCCAGAACCAUAGAGAUGAUAGGCAGUUGAUUGCAGUUUUCAUGUGUUAUUAAGUUGGUGGGUAGUUUGUUUCAUGUGUAUUAAUAGUACCCAGAAUACCAACUUACAGAAGGAAUAUGGAAGUAGAAAGUCAACUAUUGAUAGUAGAUGAAUCUGGGUCCAAUUUAUAUUUCUUACAGUGUUUUUCCAACUUGUCACUGUUUGAUAUUAUGGUAAAAGAAAAAGUUAUAAAGAGUAUGUGCAAAUGUACAAAAGGUUACUGAGAGAAACUCAAGGAGACUCCACAAGCGAAAGGUUUUACCAUGUUCUUGUAUUAGGAAACUUAAUAUUGUCGAUAUAAUAACUCUCUCCAAAUUAAUUGAAUACUGUGACAAUCAAAAUCCUGUGAAUUUUGUUGAAAUUUAAAAGCUGUUUCUAACUUAGAUGGACAUUCGAAGAGGCAGAAAACAACAACAACAACAACAACAAAAAACAAACAAAAACAAUCAUGGUAAUCUUACAUAAUAAGAACAAGAUUGGAAGAUUAACACUUCCCAAUAUUGAAGCUUAUAUUAAGCAACAGGAAUGAAAACAGUAUGGUAUCGGUGAAGGCUGAGACAGAUAACCCUGUGCAAUGAGUCAGAGAAUCUAAAACCAGAUCUGCAUGUAUAUAUAGUCACUCAAUUUACAAUAAAAGUGCUACAGC